UGAAACCACCUCAAUGCAAAAAAUACAGUUCCAAUUAAGGCUGCUACCCAAGUUACCUUUUGACAUUUGCAGAUGAAAUUUAAGAGAUUCCUAUCCCUGCUACAUCUGUGUUCUUCUUAAAACACCUACAUGUGGGUACUUGCCUUCAAAUGGGGGUCUGAUCUCUCAGUACAGGAACCUACUCAGUUGCCCAAGCCCAGGUUGAAGUUUUGUAAACAGAUGGAGAGCGACACUAAGGCUAUAGAAGGAUGACGUCUAAGACCGCAGCCUGCUGGUGUGGGAUCUGAGCAUGUUUAGACUUCCUGACAGACAUCAGAUCAGGAACUUGUGAAUGAAAUCCUUGUUCUGCUGAAAGAAGAUUUCAGGAGGAUUGUGAUUUUUUCCUAUUUCCAGUCUUAUGCUAUGGUAGGGAACAGCAUCUCCAACUGUACAAUAUGAAGGAUCACAAAAUUAAAUGCAGUUAUUGCUGCAAGAGUCAGGAACUAGAUUUGAGGAUCAGGCAGAGAAAUUAUUUUCAUCACUGACUGCUGUGAGAAUGGAGUCAUAUUAUUAUUUUAAAUCAGCUCUUGCUAACUACAAUUUAUUUAUUUAUUUAUCUAUUUAUUUUUGAAUUCUUCAAUACCAUGAAGAUUUGGAUAUAGAAGAUUAAAAACACAUGCAAUAUCUCUUGCUUCAGAAACUCUGAAGUGGAAACCAUAUUCUUUUUUCAAAAUAAAGUAUUUAUUCCUCAGAAAAAUGUUGCCAUUGCUGAAAUGAAAGUAAUUUUCUUCUGUAGGCUAUUUAAAAAUAAAAAAAAAUAAAAAAAAAAGAAAGCAAAUCUAUCUUUCAUGCUUUCUGUAGAAAGACAAUCACAAGGCCAACAGAAAAUAGAAGCAAUUUGAAUAUAUAAGCAAUUUGGAGAUGCUUGCUUAAUCUCAGUAAUUACCUAUACAGAAAAGACAGCACUGGUUGAAGAGGGUUAUAGAUGCUUUUGCAUUUAAAACUGUAAAGACUUUUCUCAGAUGUGCUAAACAGGUUAUAAAUGCUAUAUCUGUUCAUCUGUCAAAAUUGUACCAAGA
Molecule: long non-coding RNA, 1058 nt
Organism: Cygnus olor (mute swan)
Lineage: Eukaryota; Metazoa; Chordata; Aves; Anseriformes; Anatidae
Exons: 3
Source: RefSeq, a predicted model, not a curated record